Trematomus bernacchii (emerald rockcod) is the source of this 361-nucleotide long non-coding RNA. RefSeq lists it as uncharacterized. The record is from RefSeq and is a predicted model, not a curated record. Lineage: Eukaryota; Metazoa; Chordata; Actinopteri; Perciformes; Nototheniidae. The transcript is spliced from 4 exons.
UAGAAGUAGCUAAAGAAGAAGAAGAAGAGAUAGUUGCAGGAAAAGAAGAAGCAGCAGAAGUAGUGAAAGCAGACGUUGAGGAAACUCAGGAAUAUGACCCUCACACUAUAUAUGGAAGUAGUUUUGUGCUUCCAGUUUCUGGUUUCCUGUGUCGCUUGUGUAACAAGUUCUUCUUCAGUGAGACGACAGCACGACACACACACUGCAGGACACACACACACUUCCUCAACCUGAAGAGCGUCACAGGUGAGGACACCCCCUCCUGAUGAAUGCACCUGUGUCUCCAGGUGAUGACAUCAUCCUGCUGUUUGUACAUUCAAUGUAUUUUCUAUCCUGAGAUAAAUAAAUGUAAAAAAAUAAA